GAACGCACCUUGCGCCCCUUGGUCAUUCCGAAGGGCAUGCCUGUUUGAGUAUCAUUUGUACCUUCAAGCCUUGCUUGGUGUUGGGUGUUUGUCUCGCCUCUGCGCGCAGACUCGCCUCAAAACAAUUGGCAGCCGGCGUAUUGAUUUCGGAGCGCAGUACAUCUCGCGCUUUGCACUCAUAACGACGACGUCCAAAAAGUACAUUUUUACACUCUUGACCUCGGAUCAGGUAGGACUACCCGCUGAACUUAAG
RNAcentral lists this unclassified non-coding RNA (253 nucleotides) under Stagonosporopsis cucurbitacearum. Its description in RNAcentral is "sequence contains 5.8S rRNA gene". The record is from RNAcentral. Lineage: Eukaryota; Fungi; Ascomycota; Dothideomycetes; Pleosporales; Didymellaceae.